Monomorium pharaonis (pharaoh ant) is the source of this 128-nucleotide small nuclear RNA. RefSeq annotates it as U5 spliceosomal RNA. The record is from RefSeq and is a predicted model, not a curated record. Lineage: Eukaryota; Metazoa; Arthropoda; Insecta; Hymenoptera; Formicidae. The transcript has a single exon.
CUGGUUCGGUUCCCUUCAAUUCACGUAUAAAUCUUUCGUCUUUUAUUAAAGAUUUCCGUAGAGGGGAACAAUUAAUGAAUCAGACAAUAAGAUAGACAAAUUUUUGCGUGCCCAAUGAAAGUUGAGAC